This 775-nucleotide long non-coding RNA is filed under the name Homo sapiens (human). RNAcentral describes it as "non-protein coding HOTAIRM1:5". The stretch from base 484 to 628 matches the Rfam family "HOX antisense intergenic RNA myeloid 1 conserved region 5". Lineage: Eukaryota; Metazoa; Chordata; Mammalia; Primates; Hominidae. The record is from RNAcentral.
AAAAGUUUGCCGGCUUCCGCAGUGAUGGAUCACCGUUUUAGUGGCAUUUAAAUCCCCGGCGCUCCGCCGUCUAGGUGACGCGCAGUCGCCCCCCCAGGCAGCCUAGGCGGCGGCAGCUGCUGCGGCGACUGCAAAGGCCGAUUUGGAGUGCUGGAGCGAAGAAGAGCAAAAGCUGCGUUCUGCGCGCGCCCGACUCCGCUGCCCGCCCCGCCAGGCCUCCGGGAGGUGGGGGCUGGGAGGCGUCCCCCGCUCCCGCCCCCUCCCCACCGUUCAAUGAAAGAUGAACUGGCGAGAGGUCUGUUUUGCCUGAACCCAUCAACAGCUGGGAGAUUAAUCAACCACACUGAAAAUGUGGAGGGAUUUAUGGGGGAGGGGGUUGAAAUGUGGGUGUUUGAAACAAAAGUGUAUAAACAAAUGAAUUGUUGAUAACUUAGUUAUUGACCUGGAGACUGGUAGCUUAUUAAAGAAACUCCGUGUUACUCAUUCCUGGAGUUGGGGGUUUCUGUAGGCACUUUAUUUCUCCACUUUCAAGAGCUUGGGCUUGGCCCAAAUCUUAGACUGUCCAAUUCUGCCUCUAUUACCAAUUUAAAUCUAUGGCUUGAACCUGUGCACUGAAAAUCAAAUCCUUUAAAAAGAAAGAGGAGAAGAAGAAGCAAAAAAGAAAGAAAAAACACUUAUUAGAAGCCCUAGUCAUUUUUUGGCUUUCUGUUUUGUUGCUGUCCAUUGAAGACUUUGAACAUGCCGCCUUAAUAAAUGUAUUAAAAUUGAAAAAAGA